Molecule: ribosomal RNA, 405 nt
Filed under: uncultured bacterium
Lineage: Bacteria
Description: bacterial SSU rRNA
Rfam family: Bacterial small subunit ribosomal RNA
Source: RNAcentral
AUUGAACGCUGGCGGCAGGCCUAACACAUGCAAGUCGAGCGAGAAAGGUCUUCGGACUGAGUACAGCGGCGGACGGGUGAGUAAUGCGCAGGAAUCUACCUGGUAGUGGGGGAUAACUCGGGGAAACUCGAACUAAUACCGCAUACGCCCUACGGGGAAAGACGGGGGACCGUUCGGGCCGUCGCGCUAUCAGAUGAGCCUGCGUAGGAUUAGCUUGUUGGUGAGGUAAAGGCUCACCAAGGCGACGAUCCUUAGCUGGUCUGAGAGGAUGAUCAGCCACACUGGAACUGAGACACGGUCCAGACUCCUACGGGAGGCAGCAGUGGGGAAUAUUGCGCAAUGGGCGAAGCCUGACGCAGCCAUGCCGCGUGUGUGAAGAAGGCCCUUGGGUUGUAAAGCACUUUC